UGGGGAAUUGUUCACAAUGGGCGCAAGCCUGAUGACGCAACGCCGCGUGGGGGAUGAAGGUCUUCGGAUCGUAAACCCCUGUCGAAUGGGACGAAAGACUCGCGAGUGAAUACUUCGCGAGAGUGACGGUACCGUUAAAGGAAGCCACGGCUAACUCUGUGCCAGCAGCCGCGGUAAUACAGAGGUGGCAAGCGUUGUUCGGAAUUACUGGGCGUAAAGGGUGUCGAGGCGGUUGUAUUAGUCGUUCGUAAAAUCUACGAGCUUAACUUGUAGGCGGCGAACGAAACGGUACGACUUGAGGUUUGGAGAGGUGCGUGGAACUCACGGUGUAGGGGUGAAAUCCGUUGAUAUCGUGGGGAACACCAAAGGCGAAGGCAGCGCACUGGCCAAAAUCUGACGCUCACACACGAAAGCUAGGGUAGCGAAGAGGAUUAGAUACCCUCGUAGUCCCUGAGCGGGCUGGCAAGGCGCAU
This 473-nucleotide ribosomal RNA is filed under the name uncultured bacterium. RNAcentral describes it as "bacterial SSU rRNA". It matches the Rfam family "Bacterial small subunit ribosomal RNA", at positions 355 to 825 of the family's 1533-position model. The record is from RNAcentral.